Molecule: ribosomal RNA, 468 nt
Filed under: uncultured bacterium
Lineage: Bacteria
Description: partial 16S ribosomal RNA
Rfam family: Bacterial small subunit ribosomal RNA
Source: RNAcentral
GACGAACGCUGGCGGCGUGCUUAACACAUGCAAGUCGAACGGAAAGGCCCUGCUUUUGUGGGGUGCUCGAGUGGCGAACGGGUGAGUAACACGUGAGUAACCUGCCCUUGACUUUGGGAUAACUUCAGGAAACUGGGGCUAAUACCGGAUAGGAGCUCCUGCUGCAUGGGGGGGGUUGGAAAGUUUCGGCGGUUGGGGAUGGACUCGCGGCUUAUCAGCUUGUUGGUGGGGUAGUGGCUUACCAAGGCUUUGACGGGUAGCCGGCCUGGGAGGGUGACCGGCCACAUUGGGCCUGCGAUACGGCCCAGACUCCUACGGGAGGCAGCAGUCGGGAAUAUUGCACAGUGGGCGGAAGCCUGAUGCAGCAACGCCGCGUUCGUGAUGACGGCCUUCUGGUUGUAAACCGCUUUCGACUGUGACGAAGCGUGAGUGACGGUAAUGGGUAAAGAAGCACCGGCUAACUACGUG